Molecule: ribosomal RNA, 438 nt
Filed under: uncultured bacterium
Lineage: Bacteria
Description: partial 16S ribosomal RNA
Rfam family: Bacterial small subunit ribosomal RNA
Source: RNAcentral
CUACGGGGUGCUGCAGUGAGGAAUAUUGCACAAUGGGGGGAACCCUGAUGCAGCAACGCCGCGUGGAGGAUGACGCAUUUCGGUGUGUAAACUCCUUUUAUAUGUCAAGAAAAUGACGGUAGCAUAUGAAUAAGCACCGGCUAACUCCGUGCCAGCAGCCGCGGUAAUACGGAGGGUGCAAGCGUUACUCGGAAUCACUGGAGUAAAGGACGCGUAGGCGGGUUGGAAAGUCAGGUGUGAAAUCCUACAGCUUAACUGUAGAACUGCACUUGAAACUUCUAAUCUAGAGUAUGGGAGGGGGAGAUGGAAUUAGUGGUGUAGGGGUAAAAUCCGUAGAUAUCACUAGGAAUACCUAAAGCGAAGGCGAUCUCCUGGAACAUUACUGACGCUAAGGCGUGAAAGCGUGGGGAGCAAACAGGAUUAGAUACCCCUGUAGUC